GAUGAACGCUGGCGGCGUGCCUAAUACAUGCAAGUCGAGCGAAUGGAUUAAGAGCUUGCUCUUAUGAAGUUGGCGGCGGACGGGUGAGUAACACGUGGGUAACCUGCCCAUAAGACUGGGAUAACUCCGGGAAACCGGGGCUAAUACCGGAUAACAUUUUGAACCGCAUGGUUCGAAAUUGAAAGGCGGCUUCGGCUGUCACUUAUGGAUGGACCCGCGUCGCAUUAGCUAGGUGGUGAGGUAACGGCUCACCAAGGCAACGAUGCGUAGCCGACCUGGGAGGGUGAUCGGCCACACUGGGACUGAGACACGGCCCAGACGCCUACGGGAGGCAGCAGUAGGGAAGCUUCCGCAAUGGACGAAAGUCUGACGGAGCAACGCCGCGUGAGUGAUGAAGGCUUUCGGGUCGUAAAACUCUGUUGUUAGGGAAGAACAAGUGCUAGUUGAAUAAGCUGGCACCUUGACGGUACCUAACCAGAAAGCCACGGCUAACUACGUGCCAGCCGCCGCCGUAA
This 515-nucleotide ribosomal RNA is filed under the name uncultured bacterium. RNAcentral's name for it is "partial 16S ribosomal RNA". It matches the Rfam family "Bacterial small subunit ribosomal RNA", at positions 28 to 523 of the family's 1533-position model. The record is from RNAcentral.